Molecule: ribosomal RNA, 434 nt
Filed under: uncultured Lachnospiraceae bacterium
Lineage: Bacteria; Bacillati; Bacillota; Clostridia; Lachnospirales; Lachnospiraceae
Description: partial 16S ribosomal RNA
Rfam family: Bacterial small subunit ribosomal RNA
Source: RNAcentral
ACGGAAGGCAGCAGUGGGGAAUAUUGCACAAUGGGCGCAAGCCCGAUGCAGCGACGCCGCGUGAGCGAAGAAGUAUUUCGGUAUGUAAAGCUCUAUCAGCAGGGAAGAAAAUGACGGUACCUGACUAAGAAGCUCCGGCUAAAUACGUGCCAGCAGCCGCGGUAAUACGUAUGGAGCAAGCGUUAUCCGGAUUUACUGGGUGUAAAGGGAGCGUAGACGGAACAGCAAGUCUGAUGUGAAAGGCAGGGGCUCAACUCCUGGACUGCAUUGGAAACUGUUGAUCUUGAGUGCCGGAGAGGUAAGCGGAAUUCCUAGUGUAGCGGUGAAAUGCGUAGAUAUUAGGAGGAACACCAGUGGCGAAGGCGGCUUACUGGACGGUAACUGACGUUGAGGCUCGAAAGCGUGGGGAGCAAACAGGAUUAGAUACCCUGGUA